GAUGAACGCUGGCGGCGUGCCUAAUACAUGCAAGUCGAGCGAACAGAUAGGGAGCUUGCUCCUUUGACGUUAGCGGCGGACGGGUGAGUAACACGUGGGUAACCUACCUAUAAGACUGGGAUAACUUCGGGAAACCGGAGCUAAUACCGGAUAACAUUUGGAACCGCAUGGUUCUAAAGUGAAAGAUGGUUUUGCUAUCACUUAUAGAUGGACCCGCGCCGUAUUAGCUAGUUGGUAAGGUAACGGCUUACCAAGGCGACGAUACGUAGCCGACCUGAGAGGGUGAUCGGCCACACUGGAACUGAGACACGGUCCAGACUCCUACGGGAGGCAGCAGUAGGGAAUCUUCCGCAAUGGGCGAAAGCCUGACGGAGCAACGCCGCGUGAGUGAUGAAGGGUUUCGGCUCGUAAAACUCUGUUAUUAGGGAAGAACAAACGUGUAAGUAACUGUGCACGUCUUGACGGUACCUAAUCAGAAAGCCACGGCUAACUACGUG
This 497-nucleotide ribosomal RNA is filed under the name uncultured bacterium. RNAcentral describes it as "partial 16S ribosomal RNA". It matches the Rfam family "Bacterial small subunit ribosomal RNA", at positions 28 to 507 of the family's 1533-position model. The record is from RNAcentral.